Molecule: transfer RNA, 65 nt
Filed under: Camelus bactrianus (Bactrian camel)
Lineage: Eukaryota; Metazoa; Chordata; Mammalia; Artiodactyla; Camelidae
Also listed under: 1 other name
Rfam family: tRNA
About the family: Transfer RNA (tRNA) molecules are approximately 80 nucleotides in length.
Source: Rfam by way of RNAcentral
GAGGGUAUAGCUCAGUGGUAAAGUGAGCAUGCACAAGGUCCUGGGUUCAAACCCCAGUACCUCCU